RNAcentral lists this ribosomal RNA (389 nucleotides) under Daia tannicola. Its description in RNAcentral is "Zygoascus tannicola partial small subunit ribosomal RNA". It matches the Rfam family "Bacterial small subunit ribosomal RNA", at positions 505 to 950 of the family's 1533-position model. Lineage: Eukaryota; Fungi; Ascomycota; Dipodascomycetes; Dipodascales; Trichomonascaceae. The record is from RNAcentral.
GUGCCAGCAGUCGCGGUUAAACAGUCAGGGCAAGCGGUACACUAUAACGGUCUAAAGCGUUAGCAGUACGGUAAAAAACUGGAAUUAUAUAAUAAAAAUUAUUAUGAAAUAUAUGAGUAGGGGUCAAAUCUGAGAAAUCAUAUAAGACAACCAAGAUAUGAAAGUGUAUAAUUUAUAUAUAAUUGACGUUCAGUAACGACACCUAGAGUAUCGAAUUGGACUAGUCACCCAAUUAGUUCUAGGCGUAAACAAUGUGUGUUGAUUAAAUAAUUAAUAAAUUAAAUAAUUAAGCGAAGGCGUAUAACACAUCACCGGAGGAGUACGGCACACGGCUGAAACUUAAAACAUUAGGCGGUGCAGGUUAUUAACAGAGGAUCAUGUUAUUUAAU